CUUGAGCUUUAUAAGAGGUCCAGCCUGCCCAGUGACUCUGUUCAACGGCCGCGGUAUCCUAACCGUGCGAAGGUAGCGUAAUCACUUGUUCUUUAAAUGCGGACUAGUAUGAAUGGCACUACGAGGGUUAUACUGUCUCCUUUUUUUAAUCAGUGAAACUAAUUUUCCCGUGAAGAAGCGGGGAUAUAACUAUAAGACGAGAAGACCCUAUGGAGCUUUAAACAACCCAGCAAUUACUUCUAAAAUUAUAAAUUUCAGAAUAUCCACUUUUUAAGUUAUAUGUCUGCAAGUUUUUGGUUGGGGUGACCAUGGAGUAUAACAUAACCUCCAUGUUGAAUGAAUUCCCUUCUAAGCUAAAAAUUACCAAUUGAAGCAUCAACAUACUGACAUCUAUUGACCCA
RNAcentral lists this ribosomal RNA (401 nucleotides) under Rhinella martyi. Its description in RNAcentral is "partial 16S ribosomal RNA". It matches the Rfam family "Bacterial large subunit ribosomal RNA", at positions 1835 to 2422 of the family's 2925-position model. Lineage: Eukaryota; Metazoa; Chordata; Amphibia; Anura; Bufonidae. The record is from RNAcentral.